GGCUACAAUAAGUCCUCCAUCCUUUUAGGUGUCAUGACAACUGAGCAUGAAGUAGUCGUUCAUUCAUCAAGGUGUUACCAUUCCCCUUUCUGUCAUGAUCACUGUAGUCGUUCAUUCAUCAAGGUGUUACCAUUCCCCUUUCUGUCAUGAUCACUGUAGUCGUUCAUUCAUCAAGGUGUUACCAUUCCCCUUUCUGUCAUGAUCACUGUAGUCGUUCAUUCAUCAAGGUGUUACCAUUCCCCUUUCUGUCAUGAUCACUGUAGUCGUUCAUUCAUCAAGGUGUUACCAUUCCCCUUUCUGUCAUGAUCACUGUAGUCGUUCAUUCAUCAAGGUGUUACCAUUCCCCUUUCUGUCAUGAUUAUUCUUCACAGUGUUUCGAAACAGGAGGGAUGUCAGUGGAAAGGAAGGAAAGGACAUAGUUCCUCU
This is a long non-coding RNA of Oncorhynchus keta (chum salmon), 426 nucleotides long. RefSeq lists it as uncharacterized. The transcript is spliced from 3 exons. The record is from RefSeq and is a predicted model, not a curated record. Lineage: Eukaryota; Metazoa; Chordata; Actinopteri; Salmoniformes; Salmonidae.